This 31-nucleotide non-coding RNA is filed under the name Mus musculus (house mouse). Lineage: Eukaryota; Metazoa; Chordata; Mammalia; Rodentia; Muridae. The record is from RNAcentral.
UNGUUCAGAAACAACAGUAACUCAAGUGCUC